GACGAACGCUGGCGGCGUGCUUAACACAUGCAAGUCGAACGGAAAGGCCCUGCUUUUGUGGGGUGCUCGUGUGGCGAACGGGUGAGUAACAAGUGAGUAACCUGCCCUUGACUUUGGGAUAACUUCAGGAAACUGGGGCUAAUAACGGAUAGGAGCUCCUGCUGCAUGGUGGGGGUUGGAAAGUUUCGGUGGUUGGGGAUGGACUCGCGGCUUAUCAGCUUGUUGGUGGGGUAGUGGCUUACCAAGGCUUUGACGGGUAGCCGGCCUGAGAGGGUGACCGGCCACAUUGGGACUAAGGUACGGCCCAGACUCCAACGUGAGGCAACAGUGGAAAAUAUUGCGCAAUAGGCGGAAGCCUGAUGCAGCGACGCCGCGUGCGGAAUGACGGCCUUCGGGGUAUAAACCGCUUUCGCCUGUGACGAAGCGUGAGUGACGGUAAUGGAUAAGAAAGCACCGGCUAACUACGUG
RNAcentral lists this ribosomal RNA (468 nucleotides) under uncultured bacterium. RNAcentral's name for it is "partial 16S ribosomal RNA". It matches the Rfam family "Bacterial small subunit ribosomal RNA", at positions 28 to 507 of the family's 1533-position model. The record is from RNAcentral.